CAGCCGCCACGGGAAUACGUAGGGUGCGAGCGUUAAUCGGAAUUACUGGGCGUAAAGCGUGCGCAGGCGGUUCGUUAAGACAGAUGUGAAAUCCCCGGGCUUAACCUGGGAACUGCAUUUGUGACUGGCGAGCUAGAGUAUGGCAGAGGGGGGUAGAAUUCCACGUGUAGCAGUGAAAUGCGUAGAGAUGUGGAGGAAUACCGAUGGCGAAGGCAGCCCCCUGGGCCAAUACUGACGCUCAUGCACGAAAGCGUGGGGAGCAAACAGGAUUAGAGACCCCUGUAGUCCCUGUCUCUUAUAC
RNAcentral lists this ribosomal RNA (301 nucleotides) under uncultured bacterium. RNAcentral's name for it is "partial 16S ribosomal RNA". It matches the Rfam family "Bacterial small subunit ribosomal RNA", at positions 509 to 807 of the family's 1533-position model. The record is from RNAcentral.